GGCCACAUCACGUUGAAACACCGGUUCCCCUACGAACACCGAAGUUAAGCAACGCCGACCCUGGUCAGUACCUAUGUGGGUGACCGCUUGGAUACCAGGUGCUGUAAG
Acanthosepion pharaonis is the source of this 108-nucleotide non-coding RNA. NCBI's taxonomy places the organism in Eukaryota, Metazoa, Mollusca, Cephalopoda, Sepiida, Sepiidae. The record is from the annotation of a GenBank genome assembly.